RNAcentral lists this ribosomal RNA (438 nucleotides) under uncultured bacterium. RNAcentral describes it as "partial 16S ribosomal RNA". It matches the Rfam family "Bacterial small subunit ribosomal RNA", at positions 339 to 795 of the family's 1533-position model. The record is from RNAcentral.
CUACGGGCCGCUCCAGUGGGGAAUUUUGCGCAAUGGGCGGAAGCCUGACGCAGCAAUACCGCGUGAGUGAAGAAGGCCUUUGGGUCGUAAAGCUCUUUUCUGAAGGAAGAUAGUGACGGUACUUCAGGAAUAAGCACCGGCUAACUCCGUGCCAGCAGCGCGGUAAUACGGAGGGUGCAAGCGUUGUUCGGAUUGACUGGGCGUAAAGGGCACGUAGGCGGCACAGCAAGUUAAGGGUGAAAUCCCGGGGCUCAACUCCGGAACUGCUCUUAAAACUGCUGAGCUAGAGAUAGUCAGAGGCGGGUGGAAUUCCUGGUGUAGAGGUGAUAUUCGUAGAUAUCAGGAGGAACACCGGUGGCGAAGGCGGCCCGCUGGGGCUAUUCUGACGCUAAGGUGCGAAAGCGUGGGGAGCGAACGGGAUUAGAUACCCCCGUAGUC